RNAcentral lists this ribosomal RNA (1470 nucleotides) under metagenome. RNAcentral's name for it is "bacterial SSU rRNA". It matches the Rfam family "Bacterial small subunit ribosomal RNA". The record is from RNAcentral.
AGAGUUUGAUCCUGGCUCAGGACGAACGCUGGCGGCACGCUUAACACAUGCAAGUCGAACGAGAGAAGAGGAGCUUGCUUUUCUGAUCUAGUGGCGGACGGGUGAGUAACACGUGAGCAAUCUGCCUUUCAGAGGGGGAUACCGAUUGGAAACGAUCGUUAAUACCGCAUAACAUAAUUGAACCGCAUGAUUUGAUUAUCAAAGAUUUAUCGCUGAAAGAUGAGCUCGCGUCUGAUUAGCUAGUUGGUAAGGUAACGGCUUACCAAGGCGACGAUCAGUAGCCGGACUGAGAGGUUGAUCGGCCACAUUGGGACUGAGACACGGCCCAGACUCCUACGGGAGGCAGCAGUGGGGAAUAUUGCACAAUGGAGGAAACUCUGAUGCAGCGAUGCCGCGUGAGGGAAGAAGGUUUUAGGAUUGUAAACCUCUGUCUUCAGGGACGAAAAAAGACGGUACCUGAGGAGGAAGCUCCGGCUAACUACGUGCCAGCAGCCGCGGUAAUACGUAGGGAGCGAGCGUUGUCCGGAAUUACUGGGUGUAAAGGGAGCGUAGGCGGGAUCGCAAGUCAGAUGUGAAAACUAUGGGCUUAACCCAUAAACUGCAUUUGAAACUGUGGUUCUUGAGUGAAGUAGAGGUAAGCGGAAUUCCUAGUGUAGCGGUGAAAUGCGUAGAUAUUAGGAGGAACAUCAGUGGCGAAGGCGGCUUACUGGGCUUUAACUGACGCUGAGGCUCGAAAGCGUGGGGAGCAAACAGGAUUAGAUACCCUGGUAGUCCACGCCGUAAACGAUGAUUACUAGGUGUGGGGGGACUGACCCCUUCCGUGCCGCAGCAAACGCAAUAAGUAAUCCACCUGGGGAGUACGACCGCAAGGUUGAAACUCAAAGGAAUUGACGGGGGCCCGCACAAGCAGUGGAGUAUGUGGAUUAAUUCGAAGCAACGCGAAGAACCUUACCAGGUCUUGACAUCGUAUGCAUAGCUCAGAGAUGAGUGAAAUCUCUUCGGAGACAUAUAGACAGGUGGUGCAUGGUUGUCGUCAGCUCGUGUCGUGAGAUGUUGGGUUAAGUCCCGCAACGAGCGCAACCCUUACUGUUAGUUGCUACGCAAGAGCACUCUAGCAGGACUGCCGUUGACAAAACGGAGGAAGGUGGGGAUGACGUCAAAUCAUCAUGCCCCUUAUGACCUGGGCCUCACACGUACUGCAAUGGCUGUCAACAGAGGGAAGCAAAGCCGCGAGGUGGAGCGAACCCCUAAAAGCAGUCUUAGUUCGGAUUGUAGGCUGCAACCCGCCUACAUGAAGUCGGAAUUGCUAGUAAUCGCAGAUCAGCAUGCUGCGGUGAAUACGUUCCCGGGCCUUGUACACACCGCCCGUCACGCCAUGGGAGUCGGUAACACCCGAAGCCUGUAGUCUAACCGCAAGGAGGACGCAGUCGAAGGUGGGAUUGAUGACUGGGGUGAAGUCGUAACAAGGUA